RNAcentral lists this ribosomal RNA (301 nucleotides) under uncultured bacterium. RNAcentral's name for it is "partial 16S ribosomal RNA". It matches the Rfam family "Bacterial small subunit ribosomal RNA", at positions 509 to 807 of the family's 1533-position model. The record is from RNAcentral.
CAGUCGCCGCGGGAAUACGUAGGUGGCAAGCGUUGUCCGGAAUUAUUGGGCGUAAAGGGCUCGCAGGCGGUUUCUUAAGUCUGAUGUGAAAGCCCCCGGCUCAACCGGGGAGGGUCACUGGAAACUGGGAAACUUGAGUGCAGAAGAGGAGAGUGGAAUUCCACGUGUAGCGGUGAAAUGCGUAGAGAUGUGGAGGAACACCAGUGGCGAAGGCGACUCUCUGGUCUGUAACUGACGCUGAGGAGCGAAAGCGUGGGGAGCGAACAGGAUUAGAUACCCCCGUAGUCCCUGUCUCUUAUAC